RNAcentral lists this long non-coding RNA (1354 nucleotides) under Heterocephalus glaber (naked mole-rat). RNAcentral describes it as "lncRNA (ENSHGLG00000041596.1)". The record is from RNAcentral. Lineage: Eukaryota; Metazoa; Chordata; Mammalia; Rodentia; Bathyergidae.
GCUCUUCAGGUGCUGUCCUGGUCCAGCUGGGGUCCUCAGCUGGCCUCCUGUGAAGGGUACGAGGUGUCUGCUUUUUGGAAUCAGGUUAUAGCUGAAGAAAAGAAGUCUGUGUACUGAAGGACAGGUACAGACAAGACUCUUGUAGCAAGGCUCAGGAAUGUCAAUUGGGUUGAACCGUGUUCUUUUCUGAUUCCUACCUGUCAGGAUAGAGCUGGGGGCCAAGGAAAUAUGGGGGAAAACAAGGCAGCUAAGAAUAGAAGGAGACGGCUGGAUUUGCUUUGAGGGUUGAUUGGAGACUCAUCUGGCCCUCUUUGUGAAUCUAUCAUUAAUGGGCAAGAUCAGUUCUUUUGUGUGUUCGAUUGGAUAUCAGUUACAAUGGAAUCUGGAUAAAUGGACACGGAAACCAGUCACCUACAGUGAGUCCUCCUGUUGUCCCAGUGAGCAAGUGACAAGAUGGCCUCUGCAUGACAAGCACUUGCUUCAGUCUCCCUGACAACAAUUUCUGCCAAGUGGAAAGCUAUUAAGAGGUGGAUCUCUACAGUGAUAGCCUACAUUUUCCAAGGGAUAAAUCUUUUCUGCUAUGGAGGUUGGCAGCUGAAUUUCCAUUCCCCUGGCUUCCCUCUGUCAUGCUUUUCACAGAGCAACUCGAAGACUAGCAGUGGCUGAUGGAGAUAAAUAUUUCUCAAACAGUGUGAGAUGGUGGGUGGAAAUCUCUCCUGAUCUAUAAGAGGACAUCACCUUCUUAGUGUGAAGGGUUAAAUCAGUCAGGCUGUGAAGUGUGUAGCUUUCAGCUGUUCCCCAGAAAGUCAAGGCCUACAGAUUUUGAAAGAUUCUUACACAUCCAAAGUUUUACACACCUCCAUCCCGAAAGAGACAUUCUCUAUGAGAUAAAUAUGGACCAUUUUCUCUGACAGCUACUGGUGAAAGCAAAAAGCUGUGGAGAGGCAAACUAUCCUAAGUAAUCAGUUUGAAUCUAUGUUCUAGUUCCGGUCAAACAAUCCUAUGAAUUAAGACCUGUUUACCCUUCUACUGCAGGACUGUUAAGCUGUACCUCACUGCGUAUUGUAAACAAUGCCAAGUUUGUUGGACAUUUGUCAAUCAUGGUUUGUAGUGAUCAUCACCCUCAGAAGACUGACCCCUUAAAUUUUUUUUUGCUUUUUGAAUUUUGUUCUUUUCUUUGGUUUUGUUUUUUUCUUUCUCCUUAAGUGUGAGGACAAGUAUGGAUUGUUAUUAUUCUGACUGAUAUUUAUUUAUUUUUUGCAGUUCUAGGAUUAAACCCAGGACUUCAAACAUACUAGGCAAACACUGUACUGCUAAGCUAUAUCUCCAGCUCUAUGACCAGAUUUUAAUGUGC